Molecule: long non-coding RNA, 289 nt
Organism: Calliphora vicina (urban bluebottle blowfly)
Lineage: Eukaryota; Metazoa; Arthropoda; Insecta; Diptera; Calliphoridae
Exons: 2
Source: RefSeq, a predicted model, not a curated record
AUUCAAAUCAAUUCCAAUAAAGUUUAUAGCGGAAAAAGUUUUACGAAUUUAAUUAAACAAAUAUGAAACUAUUACAAUUAUUCCUUGUGGUUGCAGGUAUUGCUGCCGGUGUUUUGGGAGCUCCAGAUGGUAAUAUAUUGAAUGGCAUCCAAAAUUCUGGUCAGAUGUAUGUACAUUGACCCAAAUGGUUGGAUGAUGGACUAAUAGUAAUAACAAUGAAUUGAAACAUUUGGAAUUUUACACAAAUUAUUGAAAUAAAAUGUAGAAAUUACAAAAUAUUUAAAAAUUA